UGGGGAAUAUUGCACAAUGGGCGCAAGCCUGAUGCAGCCAUGCCGCGUGUAUGAAGAAGGCCUUCGGGUUGUAAAGUACUUUCAGCGGGGAGGAAGGUGUUGAGGUUAAUAACCUCAGCAAUUGACGUUACCCGCAGAAGAAGCACCGGCUAACUCCGUGCCAGCAGCCGCGGUAAUACGGAGGGUGCAAGCGUUAAUCGGAAUUACCGGGCGUAAAGCGCACGCAGGCGGUCUGUCAAGUCGGAUGUGAAAUCCCCGGGCUCAACCUGUGAACUGCAUUCGAAACUGGCAGGCUAGAGUCUUGUAGAGGGGGGUAGAAUUCCAGGUGUAGCGGUGAAAUGCGUAGAGAUCUGGAGGAAUACCGGUGGCGAAGGCGGCCCCCUGGACAAAGACUGACGCUCAGGUGCGAAAGCGUGGGGAGCAAACA
Molecule: ribosomal RNA, 427 nt
Filed under: uncultured bacterium
Lineage: Bacteria
Description: partial 16S ribosomal RNA
Rfam family: Bacterial small subunit ribosomal RNA
Source: RNAcentral